Molecule: small RNA, 3243 nt
Filed under: Oryza sativa Japonica Group (Japanese rice)
Lineage: Eukaryota; Viridiplantae; Streptophyta; Magnoliopsida; Poales; Poaceae
Description: sRNA Os11g0625802
Source: RNAcentral
GCAGAUCAUUGAAGAGAUCUAGCAAGAUGCCUAUCCAUUUCUAGUCGUCCCAAUACUUCACAUGCCUAUGUUUUUUUUUUUUUUGGAUCAACAUGGAGAACUGGUCAGAGACAAGUUCCAAUAUGGGGGAUAUGUCUUAUAGGUAACUUUCUCAUCUGAAUUACUGAAAUUAGCGAGCAUGGUUGUUUUUAUAGAUGAAUGGACUGCUUCUAUACAUUUAUAGUAGAUGAAACUAUUUAUUGUUUCACAUACCCCUCCGACUUAUUAAAAUUUUGACCGGUAAAUACACAAGUGAUUAAUUAGUCGUUAACUUUCUGCCAACUUGGAAUGAUGGAAUGGUUUGCACCUCUCUUUUCUCUGGUCUUGCUUUUGGAUAGGCAGAUAUCUCUACUAUUAAAAAAAUUAAAGAUGUUAUUGCCGGUACUUUGGUACGUCAUUUGUGUAUGAGUCGGUUUUCAAAUUCGUUAACUUUUGGAAAUACAUAUCCGUAUUUGAGACGUUUAUUAAGUCCGUUUACAUUUGGAAAUACAGAAGAAGAGCCGUAUAAGAAAUCCCUUUAAAAAACUCGAAUGCUAACUUAAGAUGAUCGGACUCUAACUGCAGCUCAUGACUUUAAGCGAAUUCUCAUGGUGAAUUUCACCUUAAUUAAACCGUAUAAUAAUAAUAAGAUUAAAAUAGCCUUCACCCGUCGCAACGCACAUGCAUUUUUUCUAGUCUAUAUAUAUGUCUAAUCCUUUUAGGAAUGGAAAAGAGAUUGAACUAAAAUCCAAACCAAUCCAAGGUGAUCCUUUGAAUCAUAAAUACAGAUUUUUAACCCUUGAAGAUGAAGUGUAGAUUUAUGGCCAGUAACCAGUCAACGACAUUAUUGCUUCAUUCUAUCUCUGACAACAUGGUAACUGUUCAAACAGGAGUUAAUUAAUGAUUUGUUAAUUUACAGAAAAUUAACUCAGUCACAACGUGAAACCAUGACAAUUGGAAAACACAAAUUUAGUAUAUAGCAUGUGUACAAUAGGGCAAAUUCAAAUUAAAUGACAUUUCUCAACUCAAUGAUAUUGGCAAUUCUACUGAAGAGAUGUGUUUCCCAAUAAUUCAGAUAGCUUCCUCUUGAGGGAGCACCAAUGCUAGUGUGCUUGAUGUAGGUGGUUAACUGAUAGCCUCAUCAUUGCUGAUUCGAGGAAUAAGUAAAAUAACAUAUUUGCAAAUGAAAAAUAGUCUAUGAAUAAAACUUUUAUAUACGUGUUCUUAACGAUCUAAAAACAAACGCUGAAAAAUAAACCACAAUAAAAAAAAAUCCCAAAAUCAACUCUAAAUUUAUGAUUGAAAAUUUAAAUUUUGGCUAAUAAGUAUAGGCAUAAGCAAAAACAUGAGGCCGUUUGUCAGUCUUGUUCACAAAAGGGUGUGAUCACUAGCAAAGGCACAUGCUCCGUCAUCGUCAUACGGUCCAUUUUGCUGAUAAAAAUGGAAGACAUGAUUUCCACUGAUUUGAUCUACAGAAAUAGAAAGUAGUACAAAUAUUUGUUGCCAUUAAGCAGAACUUCUCCCACUGUUCAAAUCUGAGAUCAGCAAGAGGGGCAGAGGAGCAGGGGAAUGUGUCCUCUGGUCUACCCAAGAACAGAGCAGGAGCCAGCGUGAGAUUUCCCCUGCACCAGAAAGACCAAUAGAAAAAAAAAAUUCAGCAAAACAACCAAACAAACUUCACAGUCAUGUCGCCAAUUAUUUCUUGGGAGGAAUCGUGUGAUACUCGGAUAGAGCUUUUCCUACUUUCAUAGUGUUAAUAUUUACACUGGAAACUAGAACCAAGUUGAUUCUCCAAUGAUCCAAUUAACGAGAGUUCUAGGGUAAGUUGUGUACAGAUCGAGCAGCUGAACUCAGAUGGCAAAAUAGACGCACCGAAUUACUAGCUAGGUGUGUGCUUCCUGAUUCUAAUUGGUGAUUGCUCUUUCGGCACAAAAAAUGGGAUGGCAACCUGAUUGGGUAUCUAGGCUGUAUGAUCAUACUAGGCUUUCAAGAAACUAACUUGACUAAGACUAAUGAAUUCGUAUAUAUUCAAAGUUUUCUGCUUUUUCUGUCAUCACCAUUGUUUAUUGCAUAAAGUUUCCGUGUGCCUCUGAAUAAGUACAGUGGCAUACCUUAAUUUAGCUAGAAUAGUUCACAGUACACAAAAUUAUUGAUAUUAUAUUCGUGUGCCGUUCCAUAGAAAAUCACUCCUAUGCAAUUGUUGCAUGGGCCAUCAAAAUUUUGUGAUCAAUGCCUUUGGAAUAGACUGCAUAACAGCAUGGGAGAACCUUAACAGCUGCAUUGCCCCCAUGUUAAAAUUGUAGUGUGUACAAGUGUAACUACAAAAUCGUAAUCAUAGUUUAUUUGGAUUCAUAAAGAGAAUCUUCACUACAACAACUGGAAAGAUGAGUACCAGCACAAUUUUACUAGUUUCAGGAGGUGAACUUCAGUAGUAUCCAUCCAUUUCCUCAGUUGAUCAGUGCAUAAUAUUUUUCUUUGAUGGAAAUGAUAUCAUAGUAAACAUCAUCCAUUGUCGGUCGAUCUUUUGGUGAUGUCUCUGUGCACAUUAGCCCAAGCUUGGCCAUUUGUAUGGCGCAUGUUAGUAUUUCAGGCACAACAUGAUUUGGGUCUUCACCUUCACAAUAUUCGGUGAUAGUAGGAUCUAAAAUGUCACUGAUUUGAUCCGGAAAUGCCGACUCCACAAAGUUGUGAAGGUCCAUUCCAUCUUGAAAGAUUUCAUCAGUUGGUUGCUUUCCUGUUAUCAUUUCUAGAACAAUAAUUCCGUAACUGUAUACAUCACCCUCAGCUGAGACCUUGCAUCCCAAGCCAUACUCUACAAUCAAUAUUGUGCAAGUUAAUAAUAUUCAUUAGUCAGUCAAAAUAUGAUACAAUUUUGCAUCACUUCCUUGGUAGAGCUAGUGGAAACAAUAGAUAAAAUACAAAUAACAAUGAAGCAAGUGCUCACCUGGUGCAAUGUAUCCGAUUGAUCCUCUUAAUCCAGUAGUGCUUGAUGAAUUAUUGAGGCUUAUAAAGUUGUUGUGCAGAAACUUUGCAAGUCCAAAAUCACUAAUACAAGCAACCAUUUCGUCAUCCAAAAGAACAUUGCUUGGUUUCAGAUCGCAGUGAACCAAAGGAGGAGUGCAUCGGUUAUGAAGAUAAUCCAAUGCAGUGGCAAUGUCUCCAGCUACUCUUACCCUUGAAGCCAAACUAAACAGUUUUGGGGGGCUUUGACUGCAUGGUUUUGGA